CCUACGGGAGGCAGCAGUGAGGAAUAUUGGUCAAUGGACGCAAGUCUGAACCAGCCAUGCCGCGUGCAGGAUGACGGCUCUAUGAGUUGUAAACUGCUUUUGUACGAGGGUAAACCCCGAUACGUGUAUCGGGUUGAAAGUAUCGUACGAAUAAGGAUCGGCUAACUCCGUGCCAGCAGCCGCGGUAAUACGGAGGAUCCGGGCGUUAUCCGGAUUUAUUGGGUUUAAAGGGUGCGUAGGCGGUUUGAUAAGUUAGAUGUGAAAUGUCGGGGCUCAACCCCGAAACUGCCUCUAAUACUGUUAGACUAGAGAAUAGUUGCGGUAGGCGGAAUGUAUGGUGUAGCGGUGAAAUGCUUAGAGAUCAUACAGAACACCGAUUGCGAAGGCAGCUUACCAAACUAUAUCUGACGUUGAGGCACGAAAGCGUGGGUAGCAAACAGGAUUAGAUACCCCAGUAGUC
Molecule: ribosomal RNA, 460 nt
Filed under: uncultured bacterium
Lineage: Bacteria
Description: partial 16S ribosomal RNA
Rfam family: Bacterial small subunit ribosomal RNA
Source: RNAcentral